This 491-nucleotide ribosomal RNA is filed under the name uncultured bacterium. Its description in RNAcentral is "bacterial SSU rRNA". It matches the Rfam family "Bacterial small subunit ribosomal RNA", at positions 15 to 507 of the family's 1533-position model. The record is from RNAcentral.
GAUCAUGGCUCAGGAUGAACGCUAGCGGCAGGCUUAACACAUGCAAGUCGAGGGGUAUAGUUCUUCGGAAUUAGAGACCGGCGCACGGUGCGUAACGCGUAUGCAAUCUACCUUCACAAAGGGAUAGCCCAGAGAAAAUUUGGAUUAAUACCUUAUAGUAAUACGACUUGGCAUCAAGAUGUAUUUAAAGAUUUAUCGGUGAAAGAUGAGCAUGCGUCCCAUUAGCUUGUUGGUAAGGUAACGGCUUACCAAGGCAACGAUGGGUAGGGGGUCCUGAGAGGGAGAUCCCCCACACUGGUACUGAGACACGGACCAGACUCCUACGGGAGGCAGCAGUGAGGAAUAUUGGACAAUGGGCGCAAGCCUGAUCCAGCCAUGCCGCGUGCAGGCUGACGGUCCUAUGGAUUGUAAACUGCUUUUGUACAGGAAGAAACCCUUUCACGUGUGGAAGAUUGACGGUACUGUAAGAAUAAGGAUCGGCUAACUCCGUG